UGAUAGCGUAGAAGCGUGAGGUUGCUGCAGUAAUGCAGGUGUUCCGUGGAGCGAAGGUCAAGUUAUGAAACUGGCGACAA
Molecule: regulatory RNA element, 80 nt
Organism: Anaerobium acetethylicum
Lineage: Bacteria; Bacillati; Bacillota; Clostridia; Lachnospirales; Lachnospiraceae
Rfam family: S10-Clostridia ribosomal protein leader
Source: Rfam